UACGGAGGGUGCAAGCGUUGUUCGGAAUCACUGGGCGUAAAGCGCGUGUAGGCGGCCUUGUAAGUCUGGUGUGAAAGCCCGGGGCUUACCCCCGGAAGUGCACUGGAAACUGCGAGGCUUGAGUACCGGAGAGGAGGGUGGAAUUCCUGGUGUAGCGGUGAAAUGCGUAGAUAUCAGGAGGAACACCGGUGGCGAAGGCGGCCCUCUGGACGGAUACUGACGCUGAGACGCGAAAGCGUGGGGAGCAAACAGG
Molecule: ribosomal RNA, 253 nt
Filed under: uncultured bacterium
Lineage: Bacteria
Also listed under: 1 other name
Description: partial 16S ribosomal RNA
Rfam family: Bacterial small subunit ribosomal RNA
Source: RNAcentral